RNAcentral lists this ribosomal RNA (78 nucleotides) under Enterobacter hormaechei. Its description in RNAcentral is "partial 23S ribosomal RNA". Lineage: Bacteria; Pseudomonadati; Pseudomonadota; Gammaproteobacteria; Enterobacterales; Enterobacteriaceae. The record is from RNAcentral.
GUGUAAGCGCAGCGAUGCGUUGAGCUAACCGAUACUAAUGAACCGUGAGGCUUAACCUUACAACGCCGAAGGUGUUUC